AAAAACAUACAUCUUUACAACUGGUGGUCCCAAGUUUUGUUUUAAAACUAUUUCACAGAAAGGAAAGAAAUAAUAUGAAAACUGCUCAAGAAAUACACUAACAAACAGAAAUAUACGGGGAAAGAUGAACAUGUAGUUUGGACUUAACUCAAGAAACUUGGAGAAGACUGGCCUACAGAAGAAAAUGUGCAUCCCGGAAAGACAGGUGUGAGGAUUUUAGAGCAGCAAUUUAUAUGACUUGAAUCUCCCCUAAUUCCUGAAUUAAAACGACAUCUUGCAGUACUUGUGCUUCAUGGCUCAGACACCUGUCUCACUUGGCUCUAUUCCUUUCUUCCUUCUACCCUUUGCUUAAAUGAGUCC
Phyllostomus discolor (pale spear-nosed bat) is the source of this 360-nucleotide long non-coding RNA. RefSeq lists it as uncharacterized. NCBI's taxonomy places the organism in Eukaryota, Metazoa, Chordata, Mammalia, Chiroptera, Phyllostomidae. The transcript is spliced from 2 exons. The record is from RefSeq and is a predicted model, not a curated record.